RNAcentral lists this transfer RNA (61 nucleotides) under Anomopsocus sp. AnspLA. RNAcentral's name for it is "tRNA-Gly". The record is from RNAcentral. Lineage: Eukaryota; Metazoa; Arthropoda; Insecta; Psocodea; Lachesillidae.
AUUUAUUUAAUAUAAAAAGUAUAUUUGGCUUCCAACCAAAAAGUCUACUCUAGAAUAAAUA